Molecule: small RNA, 20 nt
Filed under: Arabidopsis thaliana (thale cress)
Lineage: Eukaryota; Viridiplantae; Streptophyta; Magnoliopsida; Brassicales; Brassicaceae
Description: ATSL195560
Source: RNAcentral
UAAGAAGAAGAAGAAAAAAU